UUUCUUUAUCGCAUGUUAUUUUCUCCUUCAUAACUACAAUAUCAUUUUGUUUCAUAAUUUUUUUACAAAUUUGACCUUUUCAAUUGUGAUUUUGUAUUCAACUUAUAUGCUCUGUAUUUUAUCCUUUUUUUUCCAGGGGAAAGCCUUGGUAUGAACCUGAUUGGUGGAAAUUUGGGGAUGAAAAAUCGUAUUUCCGACAUGCAUCUGGUUCACUUGUUAUACUUUCAAAGAAUUUGGCACAGUACAUUAACAUAAACAGUGUAUCUUUGAAGACAU
Lathyrus oleraceus (garden pea) is the source of this 276-nucleotide long non-coding RNA. RefSeq lists it as uncharacterized. Lineage: Eukaryota; Viridiplantae; Streptophyta; Magnoliopsida; Fabales; Fabaceae. The record is from RefSeq and is a predicted model, not a curated record. The transcript has 3 exons.